Molecule: non-coding RNA, 137 nt
Filed under: human gut metagenome
Also listed under: 1 other name
Description: FMN riboswitch (RFN element)
Rfam family: FMN riboswitch aptamer (RFN element)
About the family: The RFN element is a highly conserved domain that is found frequently in the 5'-untranslated regions of prokaryotic mRNAs that encode for flavin mononucleotide (FMN) biosynthesis and transport proteins. This element is a metabolite-dependent riboswitch that directly binds FMN in the absence of proteins. In Bacillus subtilis, the riboswitch most likely controls gene expression by causing premature transcription termination within the 5' untranslated region of the ribDEAHT operon and precluding access to the ribosome-binding site of ypaA mRNA.
Source: RNAcentral
UGUCUUCGGGGCGGGGUGUAAUUCCCCACCGGCGGUAAUGGAGCAGAAGCUUCGAGCCCGCGAGCCAAUGGUAUGGAGAUACCAGGCCGAUUCCGGUGCGAUCCCGGAGCCGACGGUUAAAGUCCGGAUGAAAGAAG